Molecule: ribosomal RNA, 482 nt
Filed under: uncultured bacterium
Lineage: Bacteria
Description: partial 16S ribosomal RNA
Rfam family: Bacterial small subunit ribosomal RNA
Source: RNAcentral
AUUGAACGCUGGCGGCAUGCCUUACACAUGCAAGUCGAACGGUAACAGGUCUUCGGAUGCUGACGAGUGGCGAACGGGUGAGUAAUACAUCGGAACGUGCCCGAUCGUGGGGGAUAACGAGGCGAAAGCUUUGCUAAUACCGCAUACGAUCUACGGAUGAAAGCGGGGGAUCUUCGGACCUCGCGCGGACGGAGCGGCCGAUGGCAGAUUAGGUAGUUGGUGGGAUAAAAGCUUACUAAGCCGACGAUCUGUAGCUGGUCUGAGAGGAUGAUCAGCCACACUGGGACUGAGACACGGCCCAGACUCCUACGGGAGGCAGCAGUGGGGAAUUUUGGACAAUGGGCGAAAGCCUGAUCCAGCCAUGCCGCGUGCAGGAUGAAGGCCUUCGGGUUGUAAACUGCUUUUGUACGGAACGAAAAGCCUCUUUCUAAUAAAGAGGGGUCAUGACGGUACCGUAAGAAUAAGCACCGGCUAACUACGUG